Magnolia sinica is the source of this 749-nucleotide RNA transcript. RefSeq lists it as uncharacterized. The record is from RefSeq and is a predicted model, not a curated record. The transcript is spliced from 7 exons. NCBI's taxonomy places the organism in Eukaryota, Viridiplantae, Streptophyta, Magnoliopsida, Magnoliales, Magnoliaceae.
UCCAAGACGAUCUUCCCGAUGCGCCCCACCUUUUGCACGGCUACGAUGUUAUACACAACUCACACAACUCGCCGAAACAAAGACAAGCGCUGUAGGUGAACACUUCUCAGCGGUAAUUUUGGAACGGUGGUCUUCGAUUCCAUACACCGGCGCGAACUCGCAGAUUUCCUCUCACCCAAACCUUUCUCUGCUUUCUCUGUUCUCGAUUAUAUCCAGAUCUACCUUUCUCCUCCUACUUUCUCAUCGAAAUUCUGAAAAUGGAGAAAGAAGAGCAGCAAUCCUCAGAGUCGGGAGUUGACGGAAAUGAGAAGGUAGAAGAAGCAGAGGCAGUUGAAUUCGUGCCCUUCCAAGUCGCAGAAUGCUAUGUCUAUCUGAUACCUCCAAGGAAAAGUGCAGCUUCUUACAGGGCUGAUGAAUGGAAUGUCAACAAAUGGGCAUGGGAAGGGGCAUUAAAAGUAAUCAGCAAAGGGGAUGAGUGCAUUAUCAAGCUUGAAGAUAAGACCACAGGAGAGCUUUAUGCUCGAGCAUUUCUGAGAAACGGGGAGCCACAUCCGGUGGAGCCUGUGAUUGACAGCAGCAGAUACUUCGUUCUUCGGGUGGAAGAGAAUAUAGGUGGUCGUCUAUGGCAUGCUUUCAUUGGUAUAGGUUUUUGAGAAAGAACCCAAGCUUAUGACUUCCAAGCUGCCCUUCAUGACCAUAUGAAAUACCUAAACAAAAAGAAGACUGCUGAAGAGAUGGAGCAGCAUUAU